This 433-nucleotide ribosomal RNA is filed under the name uncultured bacterium. RNAcentral describes it as "partial 16S ribosomal RNA". It matches the Rfam family "Bacterial small subunit ribosomal RNA", at positions 29 to 507 of the family's 1533-position model. The record is from RNAcentral.
AACGAACGCUGGCGGCAUGCCUAACACAUGCAAGUCGAACGAGACCUUCGGGUCUAGUGGCGCACGGGUGCGUAACGCGUGGGAACCUGCCCUUAGGUUCGGAAUAACCCCCCGAAAGGGGUGCUAAUACCGGAUAAUGUCUUCGGUCCAAAGAUUUAUCGCCUUUGGAUGGGCCCGCGUUGGAUUAGCUAGUUGGUAGGGUAAAAGCCUACCAAGGCGACGAUCCAUAGCUGGUCUGAGAGGAUGAUCAGCCACACUGGGACUGAGACACGGCCCAGACUCCUACGGGAGGCAGCAGUGGGGAAUAUUGGACAAUGGGCGGAAGCAUGAUCCAGCAAUGCCGCGUGAGUGAUGAAGGCCUUAGGGUUGUAAGGCUCUUUUACCCGGGAUGAUAAUGACGGUACCGGGAGAAUAAGCUCCGGCUAACUCCGUG